UUUUCCCUGGAUGAAAUCUGAAAAUUGUGAGCUCCACUGAACUUGCAUAGGCUUCCAUUCAUGGUUCGAAUUUUGAAGUAGUCUUGACUCUAGGAGUGAAAUUGAGAUUCAAGGGCUCAAGGGACUGAACAAGUUUCUCAAACAAGGAUGCAGUAGAAGUCCUUCUCCAACCUGAAUGUUUCCUUGGAACAGAAGACACUAAAAGAUUCCAAGAAGGGAUCCCCCUCCAAGGCAGCCAGACCCCCUGCCUGUUCAUUGAAUUUACUCUUCAAAAGAAAGAGCUAAUAAAUAAAUCAUGGAUAAGGUACAUUACAAUUAUUUCGUUUUGUGAUUUAACAACAUGCAAUUAGUUCAUGCAGAAGAUACGAAAGCAAACUGUGUCACUUACAAACGUUGGUUCAAAAAUGAGAGGAAAAUUGACUAGCUUUAUAGCAAAGGGUUUGGGGAACAAUCCUUUGCAAUCACUGAAUGGAGAAAUAAAAUCCAGAGUUCCCAUUUA
Long non-coding RNA from Ochotona princeps (American pika), 499 nucleotides. RefSeq lists it as uncharacterized. Lineage: Eukaryota; Metazoa; Chordata; Mammalia; Lagomorpha; Ochotonidae. The record is from RefSeq and is a predicted model, not a curated record. The transcript has 3 exons.